Long non-coding RNA from Octopus sinensis (East Asian common octopus), 160 nucleotides. RefSeq lists it as uncharacterized. Lineage: Eukaryota; Metazoa; Mollusca; Cephalopoda; Octopoda; Octopodidae. The record is from RefSeq and is a predicted model, not a curated record. The transcript has 3 exons.
AUAUAUAUAUAUAUGUAUGUGUGUGAUGAUAAUGAAAUGAAAUCAAAUAGUGAUAUUUUGAAAGCAUUUAAUACGAACGUUUCAGGUUUCCGUAACAUAUAAUAGGAAAUGCAUCCAUUACGUAAACCUUCUUCAGUUAAAGCAUUUCAAAAAUAUACGC